CCUGGUGGCUCAGACGGUAAAGCAUCUGCCUGCAAUGCGGGAGACCCGGGUUCAAUUCCUGGGUCAGGA
This 69-nucleotide transfer RNA is filed under the name Bos taurus (domestic cattle). It matches the Rfam family "tRNA". From Rfam's summary of the family: Transfer RNA (tRNA) molecules are approximately 80 nucleotides in length. Their secondary structure includes four short double-helical elements and three loops (D, anti-codon, and T loops). RNAcentral also lists the same sequence under 4 other names. Lineage: Eukaryota; Metazoa; Chordata; Mammalia; Artiodactyla; Bovidae. The record is from Rfam by way of RNAcentral.